RNAcentral lists this ribosomal RNA (257 nucleotides) under uncultured bacterium. Its description in RNAcentral is "partial small subunit ribosomal RNA". It matches the Rfam family "Bacterial small subunit ribosomal RNA", at positions 26 to 285 of the family's 1533-position model. The record is from RNAcentral.
AGAGCGAACGCUGGCGGCAGGCCUAACACAUGCAAGUCGAGCGGUGAUCCUCCUUCGGGAGGUGAUCAGCGGCGAACGGGUGAGUAACACGUGGGCAACCUGCCCCUCACACUGGGAUAACCUCGGGAAACCGGGGCUAAUACCGGAUACGACCUCGAGCGGCAUCUCUUGAGGUGGAAAGCUCCGACGGUGAGGGAUGGGCCCGCGGCCUAUCAGCUUGUUGGUGGGGUAAUGGCCUACCAAGGCGACGACGGGUA